This is a long non-coding RNA of Alligator mississippiensis (American alligator), 5143 nucleotides long. RefSeq lists it as uncharacterized. The transcript is spliced from 2 exons. NCBI's taxonomy places the organism in Eukaryota, Metazoa, Chordata, Crocodylia, Alligatoridae. The record is from RefSeq and is a predicted model, not a curated record.
UCCUCCCUCGUCCCCCCAGCCCUUGGCGCCUUUCCUCCUCCCCUUGCAGAAAGGGUGGAAGUUUCCAGGCUGUCGGGCCUUAGAGCCGCGCUGCUCCCUCCCUGCAAGGCAGUAGGGUGCUGCUGCGGGCACCUAGGCCAGGGCACUCCCCCCCCCCCGGGGUCUGUCUUGCUGCCUGAGGUGCCAGCUCUGAGCAGGGUCCAAGCUAGCAGAGGCUCUACCAUCAUCGAUUUAAACACAGGUUGUUAAGACCCAGAUUUCCACCUGGAGUCAGCAUCCAGAAUCACAAGAACAGGAAUUUCUUUAAUAUCAACCAGUUAUGUUCCAAAUCCAAGAUGAUCUUCAGUAUGCUGACAGUUGUGUCACGUGUGCCCACUCAAGAGCUCUAGUUUACCUUUGAUUGCUUCUGUGAAGCAUAUGGAAUGCUUGGACUCACUGUCAGCUUCAUGAAAACCAAGAUACUUGACCAACACACUCCAGACCAACAAUAAGGCAUUGAUUAUGUCUAGCAAACUUAUCUCACUAUGGUGGCAGAUAGAGGAGACAAAGGAAAAUAGCUUUGACUCAGCAUCACCAGGAUCUACUCCUUGCUUCCAUAACUAUGCUACAUCUGCAGGUGAACAUGCAUAUUGGAUCAGCCUCCUCAGUUAUGUACAGACUCAUCAAUAACUCCCCUCUACUAUAUGAGGACAACAGUCUCUCAGAGGGACUGCUGAUGACCAAAAUCAGUAUUUCAACUAAACUUAGUAUUUUUUUUCUAACUGAGAAAAAUAUGUUUAUUCAUAUUCUCAGUUCUUACCUAUAUUACAAAAUGAUAGGUGAUGCUUUUAUUUUUUUACUAUAACUGUAUUAAAUGUUAUUUCUACUUGUUACUUAUGUCAAGCUCUAGUUCAAUGGAAAGGAACUCAAGUGCAAGAGGAUUUUUAAUUUUUUUUAUUAGGUAGAAUUAAUUUAAAUGUUCUGAAUACAUAUUAAAAUAUGUUUGUGUUUGCAUUUAAAGCAUUUAAUAAUCAAAAGAAGUAUUAUUAAUACUGUGGUAAUUGAAAUGAUUGUUCCUGAUUGCUGUGUCCUUCAAGAUUAAGAGCUGUUAGAGCUCGUCUUCUAACAACCAGCUUCUACUCGGAGACUAGAAGAAAACAUGCUAUCCUCCUUUUUCAAUUCUCAGUCAGUUUUGUUGGCUCUGAAUUUUGAAUUGAACUAAGUAAACUAAAAUAAAAUAGUCUCUGCACCUGUAAAAUAGACUAUUGCUACUUCUUGUUUAGUACUUCAUUUUAGCUGAUUAAUCUGUGAUUUCUGACAGUAUUAUGACUUCCUUUGAGCAAGCAUGUACUUUUUAUUUGUUGUUUAAUUUAAAUUAUUUUAAUUACUUUUGAUAUGUUUAGGGCCUAGCAUAGGUUGCUAUAAUUUCAGGUAUUAUAGGUUACUAUAAUUUUAAAUGGAUUUACUUAUUUAAAAGAGAAAAUAUUUUAAUAAAUCUGAUUUGGAGCUUUUUAUUAAAAAUUGAUUAUCAGUUACUCUGGAAACGGUAUGGAAUCAUAAGUCAAAUUGCACUUGCAGUGUGAUUUUGAUGCAGUUGAUGGGAGUACAAAGCUUUUCUAAAGAUAAACUGUAGUUGCCUUUGGGGUGUGCAAAGCGACUGAUACUUGAAAGUAGAGAAGUGUUUAUAUCCUGUUUCUAACUAUUGUUACAGAGAGCAAAAAAUUACUGUAGACAGACAUGUUAAUUAUUAAAUGAAUGAGGAAAAAAAGAAUUUCAGAAUCUACACGCUAACACACUCUUUUAUUACCCAACUCCCUCCCCCCUACCACCCUGAGUUCUACCUCCCAAAGCCUCUCGUGCUGUUCACUGACCAUCUCUUUUCCUUCUUCAGCCAAGAUAAGACUGACAACUCCCUGCAUGUUAAGUUACUGUCGGUAUUCCAUUGUCAAUUUUGUCUCUGCCAGAUGUUAUUACUUAGUGCAUCAGAACCAAACCAAAGUCUGUAUUUGUUGCAUCUUUGAUUUACUCUCAUAUGAGUUAAUUCUUUGGUGGAAAUACAGUCAGAUUUGAAAGGGCUUUGAUUUGGGUCAGUGUUGAUUUACAUAUGGCAGGAGUCAAUGGGCUUGCAUUUUCUUUCACUAACCCUUAAUUGUAGAUUGAAAUGUAUUGGUUGCCUCUCAGCUGUCCUAUAUCAGGUAGAACAUUCAAUAGCUGAACUAUCUUUCUGUUGUUCUCCUGGAGAACUCCACUUGACACCUCUUUACAGAUGCACGUUUGAUCAUUAAUAACUACUCACUGAGCACAGUGAUCCAACUAGUUUUGUAUCCACCUUACAGAAGUUUUGUCUAGUCUGCAUUUCCUUCCUUAGAAUGUUGUGGGAGACAAUGUCAAAAGCCUUGCUAAAAUCUCAUCCACUGUUCUCCUUCCAUCAAUAUAACCUGUUACCAUAGAGGAAAUCCAGAUGGGUUUGGCAUGACUUGUUCUUGAAGAAUACAUGCUGGCUGUUUCUGAUCAGCGUUUUCUACCGCAGGUGCUCAGAAAUAGACUCCUUGAUGAACUGCCCCAUAAUCUUUCCUGGUACAGAUAUCAGACUGACUGUUCCGUAAUUCUCCAGAUUCUCCUCCUUCCCUUUCUUAAACAUAGAUGCAUGUGGAUUCUCUUCCUACCCUUUUCCAGUCACCUGGGACUUCACCUCGCCUCUCCAAGUUCUCAAAGAUGAUAUUGAUAGUGCAGUGUCACUCCUGUGAAACUGUUGGGUGAUUAGUGACAGUUAGGACAUAUUUCUGAACAGUGAUGGCAAAAGAAGGUGGAAUGUUCUAGGAAAGUGACAGCAAGAACAGGCAGGCUCUUGACUAUAUACUGAUGAAGGCAAACAUUUGGAGACCUGCUUGCUCUGCAGGGUGAUGUUCGUGCUUAUUUAAGCUUGCAUGUUUAAUAGGAUAAAGCAUUUUUUGUGUUAUAUAGUAAGCAAAGGUCCCAUCUUGUUUAGAUAAGCUGAGUUAAGGGCCUGCUGGCCUAAGCUAAAAUUAGCAUGACCUUUAGCAUGGUUAUUUUUGUUAAGAAUGGUCUGGUGGAAGGGUCUAGUUCCUGUCUGGUAAAGGUCAAGUUCCUCUUUUAAAAUACUUUGCUUUUGAGAUGAGCAUGUGUGACUAAACUAAUUCUAUAGGCUUUUAAAUUGUAAACAAAUUAAUUAUAAAAAGGAACUUUGUGAUGUUAUACGCUAACAUUGCUCUAUAAAAUAUGCUGAAGCUCACAACAAAGCAAGGCUGGUAACGAAUAUCUUGUGUGGGUAACUGGUUAAGUUUUCUUAUCAUCCUAAUCAAUAAACCAGUUGAGAAGCUGUGCUGGAUUUGUCUUCUAAACAUUUAUUCAUGAAUUCAUCCAUAGUCAGUAGUGGUUUGCGAGGGAUUUCUUGGGUUAAUUCUCACCCCCUGUUCCAACUAUUAAUAAAAUGAGAAUAUUGGCCAGCCCACUUGCUCAGGAAGGCAAAGAGGAGAGCUGAAAUAUGGCAGUGAUCGGAAGGAAAAUGAUAGAAUAGAUGGGAUCUUUAGAACAGGUCAAAAAGAAAAAAAAAAUGGUGGCAAACCAAACCAAAACGUUUUUACAAACAUUUUUUCUAUUUUUAACAGUCUCAAGUCUUUUAUUAUCCCAAGUCCUGUAAGAUGAGCUAUUCAGAUAGGGUUACUGGAGGUCCCAUGGUCCACUCUGGACCAACUCUCGGAAUACAGUCAUAUUUUUAACUUUAUCGUUCAGUGAUUAAAAGAAUAAUUUUAGAUGGUAGGAGAACGCUAAUAACACAAAGAUGUACAAGAUUAUUGUCCUGCUUUGUUUUGUUUUUUAAUCACAGAUUUUUAAAAACAGAUCUAGACACUAAUAGUCCAGAGGAAUUUCCAAAAGAGCUCCAACAUGCAUUUUUAAAGCAUAAGCAUAAUAAAUAUAUAGCUACCACGCUACAAUAAAUUUGUCAUUCAAUUCGUUCUCGUUAACAUAGGCUGUUUCAAUGAAAGAUAUGUUGGCCUAUUUCAAUCAUGAAAAGCUGUUCUCUUCUGUCUGUACUCCCAAAGAUAAAGGAAUAGUCGAAAGAUCCAAUCUAAAUCCUUAAAAAGUAUCCACAAGCCAUGAUUGUGCUGUAACCCUUCUAUUACAUAAAUAGAAGUUUCCUUUACAGUGUCCUGUACAGUCAGCAUUUUACACCAAUAAAUCUCAAAUUGGCGCCAAUUGCUUAUGAUUGAAAAGCUAUCUAUUAUUUCUGCACUGGAACUGUAUAGAUGCAAAAGAAGAUGUGAUCCCUGAGUAGUUCACAAGCUAGGACAAGUAAUUGCCCGUUAUCAGGUACUUAUUUUCAAUACUAUGGUACAAUAAUUGUGAAUACUAAAGAGCCUGUUGCUAGAACGGUCACAAAAAAUAUAGUCCGUGAUCCAUACUUAAUGACCUGAAUCCAGGAUCCCAAAAACAGUUAUAUAAAGUUGUCUGGAAUUAGAUCAGUAUGUACAUUAAUAAUAAAUACAAACAUACAACAACACAAGGGUGUAGCAAAGUGGUUGACCAUUAUUAGAUUUUAGAUUAGGACAAACAAAAUAGAAAAAUCCCAGAUCAUCCACUUUACCUAAUAAGGCGCAGCCAAAUAACCACUUGAAAUCUGUUCUCCUUUAUAUAAACACUGCAGCAUUUCUGUAAAGACUUGAGUUCGGUAAGUGAUUAUUUUAUGGGUCAGCCAGUUUUGAAGAAGGAGUUUUUUCCGUGGGAUUAAGUGGGAAGUGUAUUUUGCUGCAAUUUGUCUUUGACAACAGCUCAGCAGUCACUUCAAUGUAAUAUUUUAUAGAUUGUUAAAAAGGGUGCUUAUGUUAAUAACAUGAAAUAAGUAUUUAUUAUCUAUUAAAAAGAGACUAAUAUUCUGGAUGGGAUACCAGAGUUUAUGAAUAACUGGGAUCUUAAAAGACCAGGAAUUAUGUAUUAUGAAAAGAUUGCAUUUCACAUCAGUGAAAUAUUCAUCACUUUGAAAAAAAUACCUAUUUCCAAAUCACUUUGAGUUAUUGCUUGUACUUAUAUUUAUAUAUGUUAAAAAUAGCUUCUAAUGGAAUGUUUCAUUGAUAACAGCAACUGUUUUAAAGAGUGUUUAGAGUGUUUUUCACUUAUACUGUAUAAAAAAGGAUUUAGUGCUUAA